ACCUAAUGGUGUGGGCAUUUACAUAAGAGGUCCCUAAAGCGCUCCCAGGUUGCGAAAAAUAGUUCCCUAUACAAUUGUGAGAAACUGGUGAUGACUCUCCUAAGCU
Molecule: small nucleolar RNA, 106 nt
Organism: Malania oleifera
Lineage: Eukaryota; Viridiplantae; Streptophyta; Magnoliopsida; Santalales; Ximeniaceae
Source: RefSeq, a predicted model, not a curated record